GCUUGGCUUGUUUGAAUGUGUAGCGGGGUUGUGUUCCUCCGGGAAUGCGGCCCACUACGUUGCUCUGACAGACUUGCCCGGACCGAAAUCCUUCGGGAUGAAGGUCUGAGUCAGAAGCUUGAGCCCCUUUGAGCUCAAGUGGAACGCAGUUGCCUAAAAGGUAUUGAUUGCUUACUGAGACAUCAGCACGGCGGAAACCGCAAAUUGGCCGGAAACGGCCAGCCGGACGAAAUCCUCUGAAAGGAGAACAAAAGCCGGGGUUCCCGUCGGGAUAGCCACGCGCCCAAGACGACGGUCGUGAAAACUAUCUGAAACAGUGGCGAUGCGGCAAAAACUGCAGCGCUGCAAAGUAAACGAAUGGCAAUCUGAGGGUUAAGAGGCGAGACCCGUGGGGCAGGCGAACGCAUCGUCACAAGCGAUGGCUGACCUGCUUCCAAAGGGCUAGGAUGCGAACGGAUUACUUGCGUGUCCAGUCUGGUCCGCAUGUCAGUGGCCGCAACCACUGGCUGAGCGGGCAAAUAAACCUCACCCAAUAAUCCAUGUGCCGCAAGGCCUUGGACGGCCCUGCUAUGAGGCCGACAACUUCGAAAGUCACGGAGAAUAGCGUCGGGGAGCAACCGACCCACACUGUGGGUGCCAAACGGUUGCAACGGGAAAGAGCGCGUGGCGACCGCC
This 675-nucleotide non-coding RNA is filed under the name unclassified sequences. RNAcentral's name for it is "MISL RNA". It matches the Rfam family "MISL RNA". The record is from Rfam by way of RNAcentral.